GUCUGACGGAGCNNGCCGCGUGAGUGAUGAAGGUUUUCGGAUCGUAAAGCUCUGUUGUUAGGGAAGAACAAGUACCGUUCGAAUAGGGCGGUACCUUGACGGUACCUAACCAGAAAGCCACGGCUAACUACGUGCCAGCAGCCGCGGUAAUACGUAGGUGGCAAGCGUUGUCCGGAAUUAUUGGGCGUAAAGGGCUCGCAGGCGGUUUCUUAAGUCUGAUGUGAAAGCCCCCGGCUCAACCGGGGAGGGUCAUUGGAAACUGGGGAACUUGAGUGCAGAAGAGGAGAGUGGAAUUCCACGUGUAGCGGUGAAAUGCGUAGAGAUGUGGAGGAACACCAGUGGCGAAGGCGACUCUCUGGUCUGUAACUGACGCUGAGGAGCGAAAGCGUGGGGAGCGAACAGGAUUAGAUACCCUGGUAGUCCACGCCGUAAACGAUGAGUGCUAAGUGUUAGGGGGUUUCCGCCCCUUAGUGCUGCAGCUAACGCAUUAAGCACUCCGCCUGGGGAGUACGGUCGCAAGACUGAAACUCAAAGGAAUUGACGGGGGCCCGCACAAGCGGUGGAGCAUGUGGUUUAAUUCGAAGCAACGCGAAGAACCUUACCAGGUCUUGACAUCCUCUGACAAUCCUAGAGAUAGGACGUCCCCUUCGGGGGCAGAGUGACAGGUGGUGCAUGGUUGUCGUCAGCUCGUGUCGUGAGAUGUUGGGUUAAGUCCCGCAACGAGCGCAACCCUUGAUCUUAGUUGCCAGCAUUCAGUUGGGCACUCUAAGGUGACUGCCGGUGACAAACCGGAGGAAGGUGGGGAUGACGUCAAAUCAUCAUGCCCCUUAUGACCUGGGCUACACACGUGCUACAAUG
Molecule: ribosomal RNA, 858 nt
Filed under: Bacillus subtilis
Lineage: Bacteria; Bacillati; Bacillota; Bacilli; Caryophanales; Bacillaceae
Description: bacterial SSU rRNA
Rfam family: Bacterial small subunit ribosomal RNA
Source: RNAcentral